GAAAAUGGAAGGCUUGGCAUCGUGAUGAACUUUAAUAAUGAAGGUUCUAGGUAGGUCAUUUGUAGAAGGAUGAUAACGAAAGGAUAGAAAGAAGAGAAAAAAAAAAUGUAGCCAUUGAAGAGCAAGAAAGAAUGGUAACAAAUAUUUGAAAACUUAUCAUAGUCAAAGAACAAUAGGGAAAUCUAACUCCAAUCCCAAAAAUUAUUUUCCAUAUUUCUAAUUGAAUCCUCUAACGAAAAAGAACCCAACUUGAACUUCAAAAUGAGGAUGGAACAAAAAGAACCGAUUUGCUAUUUAAUUGUUUUCAACUUCACAUUGCACAAUCUCUCUCUUGAUUUCCUUUGUAGAAUGGCUUACACAAGGGUUGUUUUGCUUGCGCUGUUGGUAUUGCUGGUGGGAUCUGCCAUGGCACAAUCUCCGGCGUCGUCACCUAACAAAUCUCCACGUUUGGCUCCCUUAUUGUCAUCUUCCUCAGCUUCAUUUGGCACUUCACCAUAUGAAGCUCAUAGCUUGGUAGUGAGCAACACCAUUUCUAAUAGAUUAUCGAUGGUUGGAUUAAUGGCUUCUUAAGAAACAGGAGAGGGGCGGAGAUGGUGGGAGAGAAAAGAGGAUGAGAGAGAUAGAGGGUACAAGAGAGAAGAGAGG
RNAcentral lists this unclassified non-coding RNA (645 nucleotides) under Hevea brasiliensis (rubber tree). The record is from RNAcentral. Lineage: Eukaryota; Viridiplantae; Streptophyta; Magnoliopsida; Malpighiales; Euphorbiaceae.